UGCUUGGGGCAAGGGCAAGUGGUUUACUUGUUUUUAGAUCCUAUUGGAAUAAGGUUUAAGUUACCUCGGGGAUAACUAGGUAAGAGCGAGGAGAGAUCAUAUCGGUUCGUUUAUUUGCCAUCUCGAUGUUGGCUUGGGGUUAAUGCAGUGGUGUAGAGGUUUCUGUAUUUGUGCUGUUCGACCUUUAAUCCC
Molecule: ribosomal RNA, 192 nt
Filed under: Gaevskajatrema perezi
Lineage: Eukaryota; Metazoa; Platyhelminthes; Trematoda; Plagiorchiida; Opecoelidae
Description: partial large subunit ribosomal RNA
Source: RNAcentral